This 5222-nucleotide long non-coding RNA is filed under the name Gallus gallus (chicken). Lineage: Eukaryota; Metazoa; Chordata; Aves; Galliformes; Phasianidae. The record is from RNAcentral.
CAGAAUUUGAUCAUUACUACUGUCACAGCAAGACAAAAAAUCACUUUGUUGAUCAAAGGCUAGAGAGUAGUAUUACAUUAGACAAUGGGGAGCAGAAAACAUUUCACAUUAACAGAUGCAUGCUGUUGAGAAGAUGCUCAUUUAUUCAAAUCAGUUUAAAAAAAAUUGAGAAAGAGCCCCCAAUAUGACUAAAAUAACCACAGUAUCCCUUUAAAGUCAUUAACUUUAGGCAACACACAGCACAAAUACAAUGAGCACCUGAUUGCAAAAUAUUUGUUUCUUCUUUGGAAUAAUUUUGUCCAAGAGAGAAACCAUUAGUCUCAAAUCUGAUUGUAAAGCUUUUACCUAAAAACUUGCUGGGUUGUUUUUUCUAAGCUUUUCCAUUGAAAGCAUGCUCUGGGUGGGAAAAGGCAUCUUAAUUACAAUGCUUUGGUUAUCAAUCACCAUUUGAUUGGACUACAAGUCAUGCUAAUUUAUAAUUCCUUUCUCAUUAUGCGGUACUUUUAAUGCUCUAUACUUAAUGCUGUAUUAUUACUAAGCUACUUUAUAUUCUUACCAUGAAAUAAAAAGAAAGCUUUAUCACUUUAUUGCUAACAAAUGUGCCUAUUAUGAGGAAAGAAUCUAUGAAAUGUUUUGGAGAGAAACUAAUCCAAGAGCAAGUUUACAACUGUGUAGGACACAGACAUUUGAAGCUGUAGGUCCUCUUCCAACCUUUUAAAACCCCAAAACAAAAAUAAAGAAAUACCACCACAUUAUAUCAAAACCUAAGACUUUAGAAAAUAACUGAAGCUAUUUCAGCUAUUUGACUAUUAUUCAGCUAUUUGAAGAAGCACUGAAGGGACAUCAGGAUACAAGAACAAGACUUCCUUAAGACUGAACUUACAACUAGGAGAAAGUAAAAGACCACAGAGCUUCUCCAGCUUUUAGACAGGAAUUUAGGGAACAAAGCAGCUGACACAAAAUUUAUGAAAGCCUCCCUAAACGGGCCUGUCUCAGGACAUGUUAAGGAAAAAUGUAUUCCAACCACAGAGACAGGCUUCGCUGAUGUCUACAUACAACUACACAAAACCCUGAAGGAUUUAUAAAGGUAUAAAGAAUGCUGAUGGGAAGAAAUUACAAAUCCAACUUAGAGUUUGUUUUAUUUUUGUUUUUUAAAUGAACAGGAGAGCAACUGAGAAGCACCAACUACCAUGAUUUGAGAGACGACCUGAAGAUCAGAGGAGAUGGAACACCAUGAAAGUGCACAUUAUGUCAAGAUUUAGUUCAGAUUGGAAUGUUCAGAACAGGGUGUUGAACUUCGCUUGAAAUUUACUUCAAUCUUCCAGUGAAUUGUUUGAGCAGGGCUAGAAACUUCUUGCCUUGAACGUAUGGGGUGAGAGAAGAAAGGCGAGGAGUGUUAAGGAUUAUUUAUUUAGUGGAGGGAGAGAACUGUUUCAUGACAGCAAGAAUGGCAUAUUGGGAAAACCCUAUUAGAUGCAACCAUUAUUGAUCUCAGCAAAAUUUCACACUGCCAUGAUCAGCUUAUUCUCUGUGGUAUUUAUUAUCCAUCAGUGCCACUAGGUUUUGGCAUUUUUUCUGGCAAGCAUCUCAGUGAAGAGAUCCCAUCUGGAGAAACGUUUCAAGAAGCAAGCAACAGACGUAUCCCACAUCCUGACAGAGCAAGCAUGAAUGCUACCAGCUAGUAGGGAGGUUUCUUGUUAAAAACAAAACCCACCGCACAAUCCUUUUGCAAAUUCUCUGCAACUGGAUGGCUCAUACUGACAAAUAUGCUGCAGAACAAUUAUCUUAGCAGCGUAAGGAAAUAGAUCAGUUUUAUAUGAAUCCAAGCCAACUUGCUGAGAUUCAUCUCAAUCUUACAUGCAGCUUUAUGACAACCUAUGACCUCGGGUCUUGCAUCAGCAGGUGGCUCAAGCAGACUGAACAAGGAAUAAUAAAAAAGCCCAUAAACUACUUGAUUUUUUUCUAGCUCAGAGUUUUUGCCACUUGCCCAUUCAGCUCUCAAUUAUUUUAAGUCAUUCAGUUAUAGCAAUAAAAAUAUCUUCUUAUUAAUAAAGAUAAGAACUCGAUGUCUAAGUGCCAGUUUACAGUGUUAGGAAGGACAGAAUAUCAGCAAUUUGCUGGAAGAUGAAACAUUAGGAUUCAACAUCUGCUGCCUUCCGAAUGCAAUCAAGAUGACCUUAUCAAAGCCCAAAGACGUGAAACUGAGCAGAUGUCAUGAUCACGAGAACAUGAGGUCAGAAAUAGUCACUUCCUAAAACAGAAGAGGACUUGAAUAAAUACGUACCAGCAGCCAAACAGAGAUGGAUCCUUCCUUCAAGGCAAGAACACUAUACACAUGGUGGCGAUCAACAGUAGCAGCACUGGCAUCACAGGUGGUAGUUUUGUGCCAGAUUUCAAGUGAUUGAAAGGUGUGCUACAACAUCACACACACCUGUAUGCUGCCAGUAGCAGCACGGACUUCUUCUCUGCAAGUUUAGGCACACCUUAGCAGGUGAUUGUAACAACAGGAUCCUAAAAUCAGCCUCCUUUCAGAGAUGUUCAGAUUUUUCAACACGUAGCAUUUGACAGCUACGACUCAUGACUUGGACAAUUUGACCAGUGAUUCGUGCUGUUUCACAGGUAUGUACAACCUCAUCAUCAUGAAAGCACUCCCCUAUUGUAAGGAGAUAAAGCCAGCACAGAACGUCACACAAACUUAAACGUUUCAGUACUCAAACAAAGGCCAAGUCAUAGUUAUUUAGGUAAGACAAGAACACUGCAAAGUUCUUAAGCUUUAAGAAAUUCCAUGGUUUUGUUUAGCUAAAGCCAAGAAUCUGUAUUUUUAUAACCAUAAGGUAUUAGCUGAAGUCAAGGAUGAAUGUAGUGGGUACAUUCUUUAUAAGGAAUCAUUAGCUGACAACUGCAGCUGGAACUGUUAUUCAAACAACUUGCCCUGGCUACGCAAAGCACACAGGCACCUAUAAUGGGGCCUAUUGUAAGAAUAUUUCUGCACGUAUUACAAUAAAAUCUGUGGAUUUAAGAACAAGCAUACAUGGAGAGUACAAAAAAAUCCUUUGUCAUGCUAAUGUGUGAUGCAUAUAAUAUUCCUAGGAUAGUUUGUGUCACUUGCCCACAGAAGAGAUUAUAGUCUUCAUUAAGAAUGGGAAAAAAAAACCUAAUCUGACAAAUGCAGGUAAUUUCUAUUAUUUAAGCGAACCAUUACUGCUUGCAUUACUAAAAACUGUUCCAAGAUUUUUGAAAUGAUAAACACCUCUCUACCCUGAAAAGUCUAAGUCACAUUCAUGGUUUCACAUUUGCAGUUCCACUUACUCACUUACUUGUACCAGCAAAUUUGCAGAAUGUUGCAAGGUCAUAGGCAUUACACCGCCAUAAUUGCUAAUCUCAUGCAAAGUGCACAUCCUUGAAAAAUGCAUCACAAAAAUAAUGCCGUGAAGGUAAGUUUAAAGCCAACAGAAACAAGGAAUAUGGACACAGACAAGUGAAUUGAUACUAUAAACAUUUCACGUAUUGGAUCUUUUUUUAAUGUUGGCUAUGAUCCACAUACAGCACAGAAUCACUGACUGAGGUGGCAGGGAUCUCUAGGCCCAUCCGGUCCAACUCUUGCUCAAGCAGGGACAGGAACACCCAGAGGCAGCUGCCCAGAACCACAUCCAAGUGGCUUUUGAACAUCUCCAAGGAAGGAGACUCAACAACCUCUCCAGGUAACCCGUGCCAGUGCUCUGUCACCUGAUGAGUGAAGAAGUGCUUCCUGAUGUUCAGACAGAACUUUUUGUGUUCCAAUUUGCCCCCAUUGCCUCUUGUUCUGGCACCACUGACAAGAGUUUAGUUCUAUCCUCUUUGCACCCUCUCUUCAGAUAUUUAUACACGUUGCUAAGAUCUCCCCUGAGCCUCCUAUUCUCCGGGUUGAACAGUCCCAAUUCUUUCAGCCUCUCCUCAGAUAAAGGUCCUUUAUUGUAGCCCUACAUUGGACUUUUUCUGGCAUGUCUAAAUCUCUCUUGUGUUGAGAGAGUAGAACUGGACACAGUACUUCAGGUGCAGCCUCAUCAGUGCUAAGAAGAAGGAUCACCUCUCUUGGCCUGCUGGCAACACUUCAUCUAAUGCAGUCAAGAGUGCCAUUACAUUUCAUACUGGCAAGAGCACUCAUGAGAAAUAACAUACCUCAGUAACAAAGCAUAAUAGACAGAACAAUGCUCUCUCAAACCACCAAGCAGCAGCUAUACUGUAUAAUACACCGUCCUGUGAACAGUUUAAGUUUCACCUACAAAGUCUAAUUACUCAGCGCAAAUCUUACUAUAGAGCAGCAGAUGCUAUCUUCAGCAGUAAAACAGCUGCAUUGUAUUUUAGAAUCUUAAUUACAAGAAGAUACAAGCCUAACUUACAGUAUUUUUCACUGUUCUUGGAAGUGCUGUAGGUCACAGCAGAAGCUCAUAAAACAGCGGGUACAUAAUGUAGAGACCUGAACAGUAAUGCAAGGUAACAACAGUUGAUCAGGCAUGAUUAUAUGUUACUGCAGAAACAAGCAUGUUAAAUUACUCUAAAAAGCCCCACUCUUCAUCUGAGCACACUUCACAGUUUCUUCCUUCCAAUCAGAACUUUAAAUAGGUUCUUCUCCCCAAGUAUUAUGCAUUUAAGUCACACCCUCCCUUGUUUUCAUUACCAAUUUAGUGCUAGGAAAACCAUGGAAAAGGUGGGCUUAUUAGACCUUCCAGAACAGUCAAAACAAAGGGAAAGAAAGUGACUUUUAACUAUGGUAGACCCCCUCUUAGCCAAUCCAUAGAGUGAUGGACAUCACAAGUGAUCCAUUAACCAGAAAUAGUAAACUAUCACGUCAGUUUUACAUUCCUGGAAACUCUGGAUAUUGUUGUCUAUGUUUUAUCAUUACUAUUUGUUUCAAAUGUCUACCAUACAGCUACAAGAAAAAACGUAUUAGAAAAUAAUCUCAAGGGCUCAUUCAAGCAAUUAUCACUUUUUAAAAAUGGGUAUGACAGGAGAGAUGUCCGACCAUAACAAAGCUAAAACUUGAUACAAGUUAAAACACAUUUUCCUUGAGUUUGUUCAUAAAAACUGCAGCAAUAAAUACAAAAACCUUUCACUACUCUGUUUUCAUGCGAAAUUUCAGUACCAAAAUAAACUCUAUGUCAAACCUGCUGUUUGGACAUUAUCAAUUAACACUUCCUUUGAUGCCACUGACAGCCCAACUAAGUAAUGCUGAAGCAGUGAGG